This 73-nucleotide transfer RNA is filed under the name Cordylochernes scorpioides. Its description in RNAcentral is "tRNA-Thr". It matches the Rfam family "tRNA". From Rfam's summary of the family: Transfer RNA (tRNA) molecules are approximately 80 nucleotides in length. Their secondary structure includes four short double-helical elements and three loops (D, anti-codon, and T loops). The record is from RNAcentral. Lineage: Eukaryota; Metazoa; Arthropoda; Arachnida; Pseudoscorpiones; Chernetidae.
UCCAGGGUAACCUAGUGGACAUGGCAUCUGCCCGGUAAGCGGAACACUGUGGGUUCGAUUCCCAUCCCUGGAA